UACUUGGUUGAUCCUGCCAAGGAAGCACACUUAGGUCAUAGAUUAAGCCAUGCAAGUGUUAGUUCAGGUAACGAAACUGCGAAUAGCUCAUUAAUACGCUCAGAAUCUAUUUGGCGGCGACCAACAGGUCUUAAAUGGAUAGCAGCAGCAACUCUGGUGCUAAUACAUGCGAUUGUUUCUCCAGAUGUGAAUUAUGGAGGAAAAGUUGACCUCAUCAGAGGCACGCCAUUCGACUGAGUGACCUAUCAGCUUGUACUUAGGGUCUUUACCUAGGUAGGCUAUCACGGGUAACGGGCGGUUACCGUCGGACUGCCGGAGAAGGCGCCUGAGAGAUAGCGACUAUAUCCACGGGUAGCAGCAGGCGCGAAACUUUCCCACUCGAGACUUUCGGAGGAGGUAAUGACCAGUUCCAUUGGUGCCUUUUGGUACUGUGGAUAGGGGUACGGUUUUCCACCGUACCGAAACCUAGCAGAGGGCCAGUCUGGUGCCAGCAGCUGCGGUAAUUCCAGCUCUGCGAGUUUGCUCCCAUAUUGUUGCAGUUAAAACGCCCGUAGUCUGAAUUGGCCAGCAAUGGUCGUACGUAUUUUUACGUUCACUGUGAACAAAUCAGGACGCUUAGAGUAUGGCCACAUGAAUGACUCAGCGCAGUAUGAAGUCUUUGUUUUCUUCCGAAAACCAAGCUCAAAUGAGAGCCAUCGGGGGUAGAUCUAUCUCAUGACGAGUGGUGG
RNAcentral lists this non-coding RNA (728 nucleotides) under Trichomonas vaginalis G3. Its description in RNAcentral is "Eukaryotic small subunit ribosomal RNA". It matches the Rfam family "Eukaryotic small subunit ribosomal RNA", at positions 1 to 914 of the family's 1831-position model. Lineage: Eukaryota; Parabasalia; Trichomonadida; Trichomonadidae. The record is from Rfam by way of RNAcentral.